RNAcentral lists this ribosomal RNA (487 nucleotides) under uncultured bacterium. RNAcentral describes it as "partial 16S ribosomal RNA". It matches the Rfam family "Bacterial small subunit ribosomal RNA", at positions 28 to 507 of the family's 1533-position model. The record is from RNAcentral.
GACGAACGCUGGCGGCGUGCUUAACACAUGCAAGUCGUACGAUGACCCGGCUCUUCGGAGCUGGUGAUUAGUGGCGAACGGGUGAGUAACACGUGGGUGACCUGCCCUGCACUCUGGGAUAAGCCCGGGAAACUGGGUCUAAUACUGGAUACGACCAGUGGCCGCAUGGUCUGCUGGGGGUAAGCCCUUUGGGGUGGUGGGGGUUGGGCCCGCUGACUAUGAGGGUGGUGGUGGGGUGAAGGCCUACCAAGGCGGCGACGGGGAGCGGGGAUGAGAGGAGGCCCGGUGAGACUGAGACUCGGCCCAGGCCCAGACUCCAGCGGGAGGUGGCGGAGGGGAAUCUUACACAAUGAGCGAAAGCCUGAUGCAGCGCGGGCGCGAGAGGGAUGACGGCCUUCGGGUUGUAAACCUCUUUCGGCAGAGAACAAGCCGGGGGGUUUUCUGCUGGAUGACGGUACCUUCAGAAGAAGCACCGGCUAACUACGUG